CCGUGCCCGGCCCCCAAAGCCCACUUCUGUCACCUCACUCCUGUCUGCUCUCAUGGUCAAGUCCUAGCUUCUGCACCUGGCAUCCCAGGCAAGGCCCCUGCACCUGGCCCUGCCCUCCUGCAGCCCCUACUGACCCGUAGCUAACAUUGCAGCAGCUCCCCGCCCUCCACUACUCCCCUCUUCUGCUGUUUCUCCACAGCCUCCUCACCAGUCAGCACACUAUAGAGUUUACAGAUUUGUCUUCAUUGUCUGUCUCCCACUAAAAUGUCAGCUGCAGGGAUUUGGGGAGGGGGAGAGGAGGGGUCUUUUUCAUCGUGCUCAACAAAUACUUGAGGGAAUGACUGCAUGAUCUCCACCCUCCUGCCACUGCACACUCAUGCCAGGCACCUUUACCCUGAUGCUGUUAUGCCCUUGCCCUAAUGUCCUCCCGAUGCCUUUGGCUGAAUCAUGCUACCUCUUGCAGAAAGGCUUCCGGGAUUAUACCUGCCCACAGCCCAGCCUCCCCUCACUGACCUCAUCACAGUGCAGAAAUCCCCAAGCUCAGGUGGAUUUCAGAGGAAGAAGGUGGACAGGGCAGGCCAGCUCCUUGGGGCUGUGCAGGGACCAGGGACGGUGGUGUCUGCUGUUCCGGGAUUGAGAGAGAUGAAGCACUUACUCACCUCAGUGACUGGUGUGCGCAGCCACUCCCUGUUCAGCUUGGUUGUGACCUCUGCUAGAAGCCCUCCCUGGCCUCCCUGUGCACUGAGCUGGUGGUUCCUCCUUUGCGCCCCAGGGAAUGGAAUAAGAAUGGGAUAAGUAUAACACAAUGAGACGAAUGCAGAACCAACUAGAUGUACACCCAACAAUGUGGAUGAACCUUAAAACAGUGCUGCCUGAAGAAGGCAAGAAACAGAAUGAAAUCUGCAGCACAUCAUUCAUAUAAACUAAAAAUACAUGCACAGAGAAAGGCCACUUUUUUUU
This 960-nucleotide long non-coding RNA is filed under the name Homo sapiens (human). RNAcentral's name for it is "HSALNT0302088". Lineage: Eukaryota; Metazoa; Chordata; Mammalia; Primates; Hominidae. The record is from RNAcentral.